GGGGCAUUAGUGUAGCGGUUAACACGCUUCCCUGUCACGGAAGAGAUCGCCAGUUCGAAUCUGGUAUGCCUCGCCA
This 76-nucleotide transfer RNA is filed under the name Bacillus velezensis. RNAcentral describes it as "tRNA-Asp". It matches the Rfam family "tRNA". From Rfam's summary of the family: Transfer RNA (tRNA) molecules are approximately 80 nucleotides in length. Their secondary structure includes four short double-helical elements and three loops (D, anti-codon, and T loops). The record is from RNAcentral. Lineage: Bacteria; Bacillati; Bacillota; Bacilli; Caryophanales; Bacillaceae.